This 397-nucleotide ribosomal RNA is filed under the name uncultured marine bacterium. RNAcentral's name for it is "bacterial SSU rRNA". It matches the Rfam family "Bacterial small subunit ribosomal RNA", at positions 1102 to 1498 of the family's 1533-position model. The record is from RNAcentral.
CCCCUAUCCUUAGUUGCCAGCACGUUAUGGGUGGGGACUCUAAGGAGACUGCCUGGGAUAACCAGGAGGAAGGUGGGGAUGAUGUCAAGUCAGUAUGUCCCUUAUGUCCAGGGCUACACACGUGUUACAAUGGUUGGUACAAAGGGCUAGCGAACCGCGAGGUGGAGCCAAUCCUCAAAACCAAUCUCAGUUCGGAUUGGAGUCUGCAAUUCGACUCCAUGAAGCAGGAAUCGCUAGUAAUCGUGGAUCAGAACGCCACGGUGAAUACGUUCCCGGGUCUUGUACACACCGCCCGUCACGCCAUGGAAGUCAGUAUUACCCGAAUCGGGUGGCCUAACCUUCGGGAGGGAGCUCGKUAAGGUAAGACUGGUAACUGGGGCGAAGUGGUAACAAGGUA